This 3047-nucleotide ribosomal RNA is filed under the name Triticum aestivum (bread wheat). RNAcentral describes it as "partial small subunit ribosomal RNA". Lineage: Eukaryota; Viridiplantae; Streptophyta; Magnoliopsida; Poales; Poaceae. The record is from RNAcentral.
AGAACAGAACGCUGUCGUCCUACACAACUUCCUCCCUCGCGUCUCGUUCUUUUCUUCCCCCGACUGGCGGCUAGGGUUCCCAUCGGCGGUACCGCAGCCGCCGCCACUGGAGAAGGCGGCAAGGCGCCCUUCUGAGAUGCUCUUCUCCUCCAAACUUUUCGUCUUCGCAGCAAGGUGUCAUUCCAUCCCGUCACCAUGGUGGUUGCAGAGGAGGGGAGGAAGGGGAUGGCAUCGAGGUGCCGACGGAGCACAUAGGUCGAGGCGGCAAGAUGCAGAGGUGCGGGUGGUGCGAACGGAGAGGCAACUCCAUACCCGCGCGCAGUCGCCUGCCCUCUCCUUCCUCCUCUGCCUUCCCUCUCCUCCAGUCAGCGCCGCCACCACUGCCACGCCUCGCCGCUACACUAUUCCUGCAGCGGUGACCCCGUGGAGGAGCAGAUCGACCACAACGGUUUAAAGUUCUCUGCUAGGUUUGGAGCUACUACUCCAUCUUCGAUCCCAGCCAUCUCGCACCCCCCUGAAAAUUUCUGGAUUACAAGAAGCCUGUUGUUGCAGUACAUAAAGGGAGAAUUAAUCCUACUUAAAUUCAGAGAUAGCAAGACAUGAACUACUGACCGUCUCGGGCUGACAGCUGAGGGAGAGGGGGAGGACAGCUGCCGCUGCUUCUCUCGAGCCCUUGUUGCUGGUGUGGUGGAUCUGCUCCGAGCCCCUCAAGCCACCCAUCUUCAAGAUUGUCGCAAGGUUGAGACUAGAGUCCAACUCUGAGCUCUGAGCUCCAGGGGAGUGACCAACUCAUGGCGUGGUGUCUGCUUGCUGUAGGUAUACUCAUCCGCAAUACCCAGCUCUCUUCUCGUGCACUUCUUCUUGAUCAUCAUGUCUCUGAAUCCCGCAUGUAUGUUCUCUCUUCCUUCACCAUCCUUCUAGGAGUAUUCGACAAGUAAUCUCUUUUUCUCAAAUAUCCAUAGUUCACAGGACUGGUGAUUGCUUAGCAAAGCAUUUGAACAAUUUAACUGAUGCUCAUGAUUGUAAACUGCAUGAUACAGAGCACCCUAACGAGUUUAUAUAUGUCAUCAUUGAAGAAAAUGUGAUCAGCGAAGGAGUUUCCUUUUAUUAAAAUAAAUUGGAAUAUAACUUUGAUUUAGUAAUACGCUCUUCAUGAUUUAUUUUCGUAUGGCUUCAGUCUGAGGGCAAUGAGCACUGGAGGUUUCAUAGCCACUCUUGAGUUAAUGCUGACCUUGCCUAAAAAAAUGCCCACAUCCCAUAUAGGCCAGUAUUAUUCAAUAUCCACAUGCCUCAACAUGUACAGUGCACAGUUACUUACAGAAGUAAACCCUCAGCUCACUCUAACCUUUUGUUGUCAAAUGUAGGAACUCCAAGCUAACUCAUAUAUCAAUCCUAUUUUCCUGUAACUAUUUUAGGUGCAUCUACUUGAUUUCUCCUUUUGGUUUAGGGAAAGUUUCAAGGAUCACUACUUUUGGAUUCUUAAUUGAUGUUUUUUGUGUGGCAAUCAAACGAGAGAGCAUCCAAUAUCUGUUACCUACUCUCUCCGUUCCAAAAUAGAUGACUCAACUUUAUACUAUUUUGGAACGGAGGGAGUACAUUGGAGGCCGAUGCAUUAGAUUUCACCAUCUUCAUCUAUUUUGUUUCAAGAUCAUUGUUAUUUUGAUUCAAGAUAUUUUCUCAUUGUGAUGGAAGAUAGAAAAGGAUGGUUGUAGAAAGACAAUUAUUUUACUUGGAGUUUUUUUUCUGUGUUUGCAUUGAAAUAAUAAUGUUCAACAGCAGAUAUAGCUUGCAGUCAAGAUACCACACAAAUAGAAUUCAGUUUUACUUAAAGGAGCUUGCCAACCUAAUUUUGGUUCUGGCUGCAGCACAAUGCAGAUUUUGAUUUGGUUUGCUUGCAAGAGAUUUGUUAUUUUGAUUAUUUUAUUCACUAUUCUAUAUGAUUGUCCUUUACUUUGGAACUAAACAAGCUCCAUUUUCUGUCUUUUACAUUGCAUUCUUUCUUGGUUAACUGAACUUUUCUGUUCUCAUUUCUUCCAUUUAAUGACGUGAAUAUUUUUGAUGAGACGAUAGAUGUUCUUUCGGUCUUCUUGGUUAAAUGAACUUCUCUUUUCUUCAUGUUUGGCCACAAUGAAUACUUGCUCAUACCGAACUAUAAUUGCAAAUGGUUUGCGCAUGAACGAGCAUAGGCUGCAUUGCAUUCUUUUGUGGGAGAACAACAAGGAACUGGAGACGAAAUUGGAAGACAACAGGGAGUGAGUUGAAGGUACCUGAACAAGUCACCUGUACGUAUUGUCCCAUGUGCUGUCUGCUUACAUAGCUCUGUUGCCACAGAAGGAUGCAAACAUGAGUUCUGCAUGAGAUGUGUGCCACGUACAUUUGCUUGACCAGCUACACAUUGGUGAACCCAACAGGCGCUAUUAUCGUGCCCACUCUGUCGGCACCCGAUCAUCUCGUCGUCAUUCUGCACGACGAGCCUAGCGGUUUCCUCGGACUUCACCGCCCCCGGGGACCGGGCCACCGAGCUCCGUUGUGGUGCUGGUGCCCACAUGUUGUCGAUGGGCUUGAUGAGAACGGGAUGAUGCUACCGUUGGUGCGGAGCCAUUGCGCCAUCGUCAACCACGCACGACGGGAGUAGCUCUUUGAGGAGAUUGAGACUGAGGAUGACAAGGAGUUGAACCAGCACGAUGCCGAUGCCAAAAAGUCACAUGUCGACAGCUCUCGCGGGUUGGCGCUGCCGCCAACGACGACGAGGCAAGCGGCUUCGGCUCGGGGCGCGUCGAAGUAGUCUUUUUUCUUUGGCUUUUAGUCUUUAUUAUGCUCGGUGUCAAUCUUUUACGUUGUAAAAAGCCUUGCAUACACUUGUGCCAAGAAUGGACCAAACAAGAAAAUGAAAGGGGCGCUAUCCCACCUCGCACCGCCAAGGUUCCACCUAGCCCCAACCACUAGUAUCUUUUACAACUCGUUUGGCUCCUGUCUUUUGACUCGGAUUUCACGGAUUUCAUUUCCGAAUUCCGGCCCUGACUUGUUUGGGUGUCACGAAACUAUAC